AUUUCAUGAGUGGGGCAUUGAAUCAGAAGUGAUUUAAACCUUGCCCAUGCUUCAAGAAUUCUUUCACCUUCUAAUUGUUUGAAAGUUAAAAUGCGAUCCCUGAACAU
This is a non-coding RNA of Solanum tuberosum (potato), 107 nucleotides long. Lineage: Eukaryota; Viridiplantae; Streptophyta; Magnoliopsida; Solanales; Solanaceae. The record is from Rfam.